This 210-nucleotide long non-coding RNA is filed under the name Mytilus galloprovincialis (Mediterranean mussel). The record is from RNAcentral. Lineage: Eukaryota; Metazoa; Mollusca; Bivalvia; Mytilida; Mytilidae.
GUUGUGAACUGUACUAUAGAUAUGGAAUGUAUCUUGCUCCUUUUACUGCAAUAUUAACAACAGCAAGACAUAUCGAACCACUCGCUUCGCUCGAUUUCCAAAAAAAAGAUGAAAAAAAUGACAUAAAAAAUGAUGAAUGAAAAUCCUGAACAAAUAGAAAACAAAGAAGAAAAAAAGAAGUAUUUAAAAAACCCAAACCAAAAGACCCAA